Molecule: unclassified non-coding RNA, 445 nt
Filed under: uncultured Ascomycota
Lineage: Eukaryota; Fungi; Ascomycota
Description: sequence contains ITS2
Source: RNAcentral
AACUUGCUACAACGGAUCACGCAAAAUUCGGAAAACGCUAAAAGCAAACGCGGUCAGAAAAUAGCAUCCGACCAAAAGUAAAAUCGUUCUACGAGACAUCUUUGCCGCCUCAUUCCAUUCGCAAAUGUUUGCAUUUAAAUACAUCCAACCGGACGCGCAGGAUUAAUGAGGCUCGGCGCCACGACGAGCGCCUAGGACACUUCUGAGCUGUGGAUUGUAGCCGAUUUGAGCAGUCGUUCAAUGUCGGCCGGAGACCGAAAGCUACCAACAGACGUCGGUCUUGGCCGCGCCUUUGUUGCUCUGCGGUACAAGCUUGCUCUGCGGUACAACGAUCCUCUGCCCGUGCUGAAGCCGGGGGUUCUUAGGUUGGUACGCUGAAGCUGUCCCACUCUGGGGCUGGUGAGCGGCCACUCCGGCCAUUUAAGCAUAUCAAUAAGCGGAGGCU